RNAcentral lists this ribosomal RNA (447 nucleotides) under uncultured bacterium. RNAcentral describes it as "partial 16S ribosomal RNA". It matches the Rfam family "Bacterial small subunit ribosomal RNA", at positions 29 to 523 of the family's 1533-position model. The record is from RNAcentral.
AACGAACGCUGGCGGCAGGCCUAACACAUGCAAGUCGAACGCUCCGCAAGGGGAGUGGCGCACGGGUGAGUAACGCGUGGGAAUCUUCCUAUCGGUACGGAAUAGCUCAGGGAAACUUGGGGUAAUACCGCAUACGCCCUUCGGGGGAAAGAUCUAUCGCCGAUAGAUGAGCCCGCGUCUGAUUAGCUAGUUGGUGAGGUAAUGGCUCACCAAGGCGACGAUCAGUAGCUGGUCUGAGAGGAUGACCAGCCACACUGGGACUGAGACACGGCCCAGACUCCUACGGGAGGCAGCAGUGGGGAAUAUUGGACAAUGGGCGCAAGCCUGAUCCAGCCAUGCCGCGUGAGUGACGAAGGUCUUCGGAUUGUAAAGCUCUUUUGGCGGGGACGAUAAUGACGGUACCCGCAGAAUAAGCCCCGGCUAACUUCGUGCCAGCCGCCGCGGUAA